This 377-nucleotide ribosomal RNA is filed under the name Prostomatea sp. RNAcentral's name for it is "partial small subunit ribosomal RNA". It matches the Rfam family "Eukaryotic small subunit ribosomal RNA", at positions 582 to 975 of the family's 1831-position model. The record is from RNAcentral. Lineage: Eukaryota; Ciliophora; Prostomatea.
AUUCCAGCUCCAAUAGCGUAUAUUAAUGUUGUUGCAGUUAAAAAGCUCGUAGUUGAAUUUCUGGUUAAAAUCUUAGCUGGCUUUGGUCGUUAAUGUUUUAAUCAUCCGUUAGAGAACUAUAACCGUCCUUAACUGGUCAUUAUAGAGAUCUAACAUUUUACUUUGAAAAAAUUAGAGUGUUCAAGGCAGGCAAUCGUCAUGAAUACUAUAGCAUGGAAUAAUGGAAUAGGACUUUGGUUCAUUUUAUUGGUUAUUGAACCUUAGUAAUGAUUAAUAGGGAUAGUUGGGGGCAUUAGUACUUUGCUGUCAGAGGUGAAAUUCUCGGAUUUAUGAAAGACUAACUACUGCGAAAGCAUUUGCCAAGGAUGUUUUCAUCG